AUAUUACACACACACAUAUACAUACUAUACAUUACACCAGAGAAGAUUAGCAUGGCUCCUGCACAAGGACGGCAGAAAAACUUGUGAAACACUCCACACUUUC
Small nuclear RNA from Mus pahari (shrew mouse), 103 nucleotides. NCBI's taxonomy places the organism in Eukaryota, Metazoa, Chordata, Mammalia, Rodentia, Muridae. The record is from RefSeq and is a predicted model, not a curated record.